AAGCGGCAGGCCUAACACAUGCAAGUCGAACGGUAACAGGAAGCAGCUUGCUGCUUUGCUGACGAGUGGCGGACGGGUGAGUAAUGUCUGGGAAACUGCCUGAUGGAGGGGGAUAACUACUGGAAACGGUAGCUAAUACCGCAUAACGUCGCAAGACCAAAGAGGGGGACCUUCGGGCCUCUUGCCAUCGGAUGUGCCCAGAUGGGAUUAGCUAGUAGGUGGGGUAACGGCUCACCUAGGCGACGAUCCCUAGCUGGUCUGAGAGGAUGACCAGCCACACUGGAACUGAGACACGGUCCAGACUCCUACGGGAGGCAGCAGUGGGGAAUAUUUGCACAAUGGGCGCAAGCCUGAUGCAGCCAUGCCGCGUGUAUGAAGAAGGCCUUCGGGUUGUAAGUACUUUCAGACGCGGGAGCGAAGGUGUUGAGGUUAAUAACCUCAGCAACAUUGACGUUACCCGCAGAACGNAAGCACCGGCAUAACAUCCGUGUCCAAGCAACGCGG
RNAcentral lists this ribosomal RNA (504 nucleotides) under uncultured bacterium. RNAcentral describes it as "bacterial SSU rRNA". It matches the Rfam family "Bacterial small subunit ribosomal RNA", at positions 39 to 520 of the family's 1533-position model. The record is from RNAcentral.